AUUGAACGCUGGCGGCAGGCCUAACACAUGCAAGUCGAGCGGAUGAAGGGAGCUUGCUCCUGGAUUCAGCGGCGGACGGGUGAGUAAUGCCUAGGAUCUGCCUGGUAGUGGGGGAUAACGUCCGGAAACGGGCGCUAAUACCGCAUACGUCCUGAGGGAGAAAGUGGGGGAUCUUCGGACCUCACGCUAUCAGAUGAGCCUAGGUCGGAUUAGCUAGUUGGGGGGGUAAAGGCCUACCAAGGCGACGAUCCGUAACUGGUCUGAGAGGAUGAUCAGUCACACUGGAACUGAGACACGGUCCAGACUCCUACGGGAGGCAGCAGUGGGGAAUAUUGGACAAUGGGCGAAAGCCUGAUCCAGCCAUGCCGCGUGUGUGAAGAAGGUCUUCGGAUUGUAAAGCACUUUAAGUUGGGAGGAAGGGCAGUAAGUUAAUACCUUGCUGUUUUGACGUUACCAACAGAAUAAGCACCGGCUAACUUCGUG
RNAcentral lists this ribosomal RNA (483 nucleotides) under uncultured bacterium. Its description in RNAcentral is "partial 16S ribosomal RNA". It matches the Rfam family "Bacterial small subunit ribosomal RNA", at positions 30 to 507 of the family's 1533-position model. The record is from RNAcentral.